Molecule: long non-coding RNA, 537 nt
Organism: Corticium candelabrum
Lineage: Eukaryota; Metazoa; Porifera; Homoscleromorpha; Homosclerophorida; Plakinidae
Exons: 3
Source: RefSeq, a predicted model, not a curated record
UCUGUUUUGGCGGUUCGCUGUCGCGGCGUCUGCAAGAGGAUUAUGCUUUCACCUACCACAUGUACAGCGCAGUCCAGCGACUUGGGUCCUAGUUGACGUGAUGAAACCAUCGAUGAAGAAGCCUAAGCCAGCCGAAAACAGAAAUGUCGGUAGUUUCUUCAAGUUACGGACAUGGAUGGAGCUUGCCAGGGAUUGUGGCUUUUGAACAAGAUUCAGGAAAAACAAACUAGUAGAAAACGAUAAAAUUCUCAAGUACAGAUGAAUGCUCAACCAUGCAGAGGUCGCUCGUCCUACGACUGUUCAACUGAAAGAAACCACAUCAGCGAUUCAUCACCUGGGCAAAAGAAUCAUCGGUGAAAAAGCAGAUAACUGACAAGGACUGCUACUGAACGUGAAAAGAAAGCAGAGACACUACACUUCUAGAGUGCAUUUUUUGCUAAUCUAGAGUAAGCGUGCCAAAUGGUUAGUAGCACGUAAUUGCAAGAUGUGGCGAUUAGAUAAGGUAACUGGAAAUAUAAUCAGACAUGAUUACAAUCA